UACGUAGGGAGCCAGCGUUGUUCGGAUUUACUGGGCGUAAAGGGCGCGUAGGCGGCAAUUCAAGUCAUCUGUGAAAUCUCCGGGCUUAACUCGGAACGGUCAGAUGAUACUGCUUUGCUAGAGUGCAGAAGGGGCAAUCGGAAUUCUCGGUGUAGCGGUGAAAUGCGUAGAUAUCGAGAGGAACACCAGAGGUGAAGACGGGUUGCUGGGCUGACACUGACGCUGAGGCGCGAAAGCCAGGGGAGCAAACGGG
Molecule: ribosomal RNA, 253 nt
Filed under: uncultured bacterium
Lineage: Bacteria
Description: partial 16S ribosomal RNA
Rfam family: Bacterial small subunit ribosomal RNA
Source: RNAcentral